This 157-nucleotide ribosomal RNA is filed under the name uncultured archaeon. RNAcentral's name for it is "partial 16S ribosomal RNA". It matches the Rfam family "Archaeal small subunit ribosomal RNA", at positions 319 to 477 of the family's 1478-position model. The record is from RNAcentral. RNAcentral also lists the same sequence under 1 other name.
UCCCUACGGGGCGCACCAGGCGCGAAACCUCCGCAAUGCGAGCAAUCGCGACGGGGGGACCCCAAGUGCCACUCUUAACGGGGUGGCUUUUCAUAAGUGUAAAAAGCUUUUGGAAUAAGAGCUGGGCAAGACCGGUGCCAGCCGCCGCGGUAAUUCA